Molecule: ribosomal RNA, 660 nt
Filed under: Triticum aestivum (bread wheat)
Lineage: Eukaryota; Viridiplantae; Streptophyta; Magnoliopsida; Poales; Poaceae
Description: partial small subunit ribosomal RNA
Source: RNAcentral
AUGGAUGAAGCUAGGCGUGCUGUGUUUGAUUCUCCAAAUGACAAGGCACCAGGGCCGGACGGGUUCACGGGUGCGUUCUUCAGAGCAUGCUGGGAUAUUAUCAAGGUGGAUAUCAUGGCCACCAUUUACCACUUCUCCGAUCUCCAUGCCUCAAACUUCCAUUGGCUGAAGUCCGCCAACAUAAUGUUCAUUCCUAGGAAAGAUGGUUCUGAAGAUAUUUCUGAAUUUAGGACUAUCAGUUUGAUCCAUGCCGUCGCUAAGCUUAUUGCCAAGAUGAUGGUGUCCCGCCUCUUGGUUUAUAUGGAUGAACUUAUUUCACAAGCCAAAGUGCUUUCAAAAAAAAGUAUUCACGACAACUUCACUUAUGUUCGCAACCUGGCUAGAAGAUUCCACAUGAGUAAAACCCCCAAGUUGCUCUUCAAGCUCGAUAUCAAGAAAGCCUUUGACUCGGUUCGUUGGGACUACUUAAUGGAUGUCCCACAGCAUCUCGGCUUCCCGACACAUUUCCGAGGUUGGGUCUCCACACUCCUUUCACCGGCUUCCUCAAGAGUCUUGCUAAAUGGCACUGUUGGAGACCCUAUACAUCAUGGAAAGGGAUUACAGCAAGGGGACCCAUUGUUCUAUUUGUGCUCGCCAUCGAUCCUUUGCACCACAUCAUGA